CUGUAUGUAUAUACUCUGCAUU
Molecule: small nuclear RNA, 22 nt
Filed under: Arabidopsis thaliana (thale cress)
Lineage: Eukaryota; Viridiplantae; Streptophyta; Magnoliopsida; Brassicales; Brassicaceae
Description: snRNA_12240
Source: RNAcentral